AUGUGUGUGUGUGUUGAGAGAAGAAGAGAGGAACCCCAGGAGAGUUGUGCGAUGCAGCUCGGGGUAGAAGAAGAGCGGCGCUGCGAGAGGCGGCGCCAACAAAGAGGGCCAGAGGAAAAUGUAGCACCUGUUAUUUUCACCGGGAGACAAGGCAAAGCCAGCUUUCUCCUUGGUGAAGUGUGUGUGCAUGUGAGUUUCCAUGGUGUGUGUUCUUGUCUUCUUGAGAAUAGAAGAGAGAAACCUCAGGAGGGUUGUGCGAGGCAGCUCGAGGAAGAAGAAGGUCGGCGCUGCGAGAGGAGCGGCGCCAACAAGGCAUAG
This 318-nucleotide ribosomal RNA is filed under the name Triticum aestivum (bread wheat). Its description in RNAcentral is "partial small subunit ribosomal RNA". The record is from RNAcentral. Lineage: Eukaryota; Viridiplantae; Streptophyta; Magnoliopsida; Poales; Poaceae.